RNAcentral lists this ribosomal RNA (495 nucleotides) under uncultured bacterium. Its description in RNAcentral is "partial 16S ribosomal RNA". It matches the Rfam family "Bacterial small subunit ribosomal RNA", at positions 28 to 507 of the family's 1533-position model. The record is from RNAcentral.
GACGAACGCUGGCGGCGUGCCUAAUACAUGCAAGUAGAACGCUGAAGGAGGAGCUUGCUCUUCUGGAUGAGUUGCGAACGGGUGAGUAACGCGUAGGUAACCUGCCUGGUAGCGGGGGAUAACUAUUGGAAACGAUAGCUAAUACCGCAUAACAGUAGAUGUUGCAUGACAUUUACUUAAAAGGUGCAAUUGCAUCACUACCAGAUGGACCUGCGUUGUAUUAGCUAGUUGGUGGGGUAACGGCUCACCAAGGCGACGAUACAUAGCCGACCGGAGAGGGUGGUCGGCCGCCCUGGGACGGAGACACGGCCCAGACGCCUACGGGAGGCAGCAGGAGGGAAACGUCGGCAAGGGGCGGAAGUCUGACCGAGCAACGCCGCGUGAGUGAAGAAGGAUUUCGGAUCGUAAAGCUCUGUUGUAAGGGAAGAACGAGUGUGAGAGUGGAAAGUUCACACUGUGACGGUAACUGACCAGAAAGGGACGGCUAACUACGUG